Molecule: ribosomal RNA, 537 nt
Filed under: uncultured fungus
Lineage: Eukaryota; Fungi
Description: eukaryotic LSU rRNA
Rfam family: 5.8S ribosomal RNA (bases 191-344)
Source: RNAcentral
GAUUAAGGUCUCCGUAGGUGAACCAGCGGAGGGAUCAUUACCGAGUUUACAACUCCCAAACCCCUGUGAACAUACCUUUAUGUUGCCUCGGCGGAUCAGCCCGCGCCCCGUAAAACGGGACGGCCCGCCGCAGGAACCACAAAACUCUGAUUUUAGUGUAACUUCUGAGUCUAAAAAACAAAUAAAUCAAAACUUUCAACAACGGAUCUCUUGGUUCUGGCAUCGAUGAAGAACGCAGCAAAAUGCGAUAAGUAAUGUGAAUUGCAGAAUUCAGUGAGUCAUCGAAUCUUUGAACGCACAUUGCGCCCGCCAGUAUUCUGGCGGGCAUGCCUGUUCGAGCGUCAUUUCAACCCUCAAGCCCCCGGGUUUGGUGUUGGGGAUCGGGCUGUACUCCAGCCCGGCCCCGAAAUCUAGUGGCGGUCUCGCUGCAGCCUCCAUUGCGUAGUAGCUAACACCUCGCAACUGGAACGCGGCGCGGCCAAGCCGUUAAACCCCCAACUUCUGAAUGUUGACCUCGGAUCAGGUAGGGAUACAAUC